AUGUCCCAAAUGCAGGGGAAACUUGAGUCAAAGAUUGCACCUUCUCAGAGUGGUGUUGACUUGUCUAGUUGGUCUCAUACUGAGCACCCUCAGUCAGAACCACAGCUUUACCAAACAAGUCAAGUGGACUGGGGAUGCCAAGUGAAACAACCCCAGGGGAGAAACCCAGAGAUUCAGCGAAGGGAAUGGUAAGAGUAUCUCGAAUUUGUGUGUGUCCUCAGCAACCUGUUCAUUAGAUUGGAUACAGUACUGCAGCACUACCAGAUGUCAAAAGGAGAAGAAAUAAUGUGCGAUUGUGAAGUAGCUGGAAGUUAGAUGCAAAUUCUGAGUGCAACAGGUGGAUGAGGAAACUGUUGAAAUGUAUACAUAUAUCUGUAAUGUGUAUGUAGUCACUUUUGAGUUCUUCAGAAAAUCGUAACAACAACUACAAAAAAGCCCUUCAGAAGGGCCCAGACAGACUUCUACAGUUAACAAAAUGGAUGAGGGAUCUUGUACAGCCAACACAAUGUCAAUAUGAAUGAUGUAAAACGAUGCAAAAAAAUACUGUACUGUGCAUGGUAAAUCAUAUAAUAAGGGAAGCAGUAAAGAGUAAUAUGUCCUAAAGCAUGGCUUCAGUAAAUGAAAACUGAAAUAGGAAAUGCUCCAGAGAGUUAGUAAAAAAAGCAAUGGAAAGCAAAGAUAUGUAAUAAAAGAAAGCUAAAACUGAAUUAC
RNAcentral lists this long non-coding RNA (711 nucleotides) under Anser cygnoides (Swan goose). RNAcentral's name for it is "lncRNA (ENSACDG00005011000.1)". Lineage: Eukaryota; Metazoa; Chordata; Aves; Anseriformes; Anatidae. The record is from RNAcentral.